This is a non-coding RNA of Microcebus murinus (gray mouse lemur), 1175 nucleotides long. Lineage: Eukaryota; Metazoa; Chordata; Mammalia; Primates; Cheirogaleidae. The record is from RefSeq and is a predicted model, not a curated record.
AUGACACUCAAAUUAGCAUUUCAGCCUCACCUAGUUGAUGUCGACAAGGCACCUGAAAAACAGAUGGAAUUGAUUGAGCUCUCAGUAGAUGACAUUUUAAAGUCAUUGUUUGAUGCUAAGAAAGAUCCAAUCAAAAUAUGGACAAAUGCAGUAGAAUACCCACACCUUCAACUCCCCAGAUUGUCAAGGUUAUCAAAAACAAGGAACAAGUUCUCACCACCAAUUCUGCAGCUAGAUGAGGUGGAUUUCUACUGUGACCCUAAACAUGUCAUCUUCAGUCGUCUCUCCGUCUCUGCUGAUCUUGAGUCCCGCAUCUGUGUGGUUGGGGAGAAUGGGGCUGGGAAGUCCACCAUGCUGAAGCUGCUUAUGGGGGACCUGGCACCUGUUCGAGGCAUCAGAGAUGCUCAUAGGAAUCUGAAGAUUGGCUAUUUCAGCCAGCACCAUGUGGAGCAGCUGGACCUGAAUGUCAGUGCUGUGGAAUUGCUGGCACGCAAGUUUGCUGGGCAGCCCGAGGAGGAAUAUCGUCACCAGCUGGGCUGGUAUGGCAUCUCUGGAGAACUGGCCAUGCGCCCUGUUGCCAGCUUAUCUGGGGGUCAGAAGAGCCGAGUGGCCUUUGCUCAGAUGACCAUGCCGUGCCCCAACUUCUAUAUUCUGGAUGAACCCACAAACCACCUGGACAUGGAGACAAUCGAGGCUCUGGGUCGUGCUCUCACGAUGAACGCUUCAUCAGGCUGGUGUGCCGGGAGUUGUGGGUGUGUGAAGGAGGUGGCGUCACCCGGGUUGAAGGAGGAUUUGACCAGUAUCGAGCCCUCCUCCAGGAACAGUUCCACCGUGAGGGCUUCCUCUAGGGCCACCAGGCUGAGGACUGUGCCCAGGACAUUGACUGGUCUCAGACACUGGGCCACCAUGUAGGCAACCAACUCCAGGCUGAGGGCUUUACCCGACUUGGGGACAGCCUUAUUCCCAAAUGUCUCUCCUUUUGACUGGAGCAUCCUCUACACAACCUGGGGAACCCCAUCCAAGUAUCUGUGAGGACUGGUCUCCCAGGGGGAAGGGGUUGGGGAGGGGGUGUGCCCUCUGGGGUUAUAGAUUCCCCCACUGCCCCAGCUCUGCCUGGGCCCCAAGUGGCUGGUAUGUAAAUUAAAUUUCCCCCUGCAAAAAAAAAAAAAAAAAAA